This 330-nucleotide ribosomal RNA is filed under the name uncultured bacterium. RNAcentral describes it as "bacterial SSU rRNA". It matches the Rfam family "Bacterial small subunit ribosomal RNA", at positions 568 to 898 of the family's 1533-position model. The record is from RNAcentral.
UGUGUAGGCGGUUCUCUAAGUCUGGUGUGAAAUCUCCCGGCUCAACUGGGAGGGUGCGCCGAAAACUGGAGGGCUAGAGUGCGGGAUGGGAAAGUGGAAUUCCUGGUGUAGCGGUGAAAUGCGUAGAUAUCAGGAGGAACACCUGUGGUGUAGACGGCUUUCUGGACCGCAACUGACGCUGAGACACGAAAGCGUGGGUAGCAAACAGGAUUAGAUACCCUGGUAGUCCACGCCCUAAACGAUGCAUACUUGGUGUGGGUCAUUCAUUUGAUCCGUGCCGGAGCUAACGCGUUAAAUAUGCCGCCUGGGGAGUACGGUCGCAAGGCUGAA